This 205-nucleotide ribosomal RNA is filed under the name uncultured bacterium. RNAcentral's name for it is "partial 16S ribosomal RNA". It matches the Rfam family "Bacterial small subunit ribosomal RNA", at positions 568 to 774 of the family's 1533-position model. The record is from RNAcentral.
UGCGUAGGUGGUGAGGUAAGUCGGAUAUGAAAUCUCCGAGCUCAACUCGGAAAUGGCAUUGGAAACUACCUUGCUAGAGGGUUGGGAGGGGGACUGGAAUACUUGGUGUAGCAGUGAAAUGCGUAGAUAUCAAGUGGAACACCAGUGGCGAAGGCGAGUCCCUGGACAACUCCUGACACUGAGGCACGAAAGCUGGGAGCAAACA